GAUGAACGCUAGCGGCAGGCCUAACUCAUGCAAGUCGAGGGGUAACAUUGGAGCUUGCUCCAGAUGACGACCGGCGCACGGGUGCGUAACGCGUAUACAAUCUACCUUUUGCUGAGGGAUAGCCCAGAGAAAUUUGGAUUAACACCUCAUAGUAUGUAGACUUCUCAUGAAGAUUACAUUAAAGGUUACGGCAAAAGAUGAGUAUGCGUCCUAUUAGUUAGUUGGUGUGGUAACGGCACACCAAGACUACGAUAGGUAGGGGCCCUGAGAGGGGGAUCCCCCACACUGGUACUGAGACACGGACCAG
This 307-nucleotide ribosomal RNA is filed under the name uncultured bacterium. Its description in RNAcentral is "bacterial SSU rRNA". It matches the Rfam family "Bacterial small subunit ribosomal RNA", at positions 28 to 334 of the family's 1533-position model. The record is from RNAcentral.